GAACCGUCCAAACGUUAUUCGGAAUUACUGGGCUUAAAGGGUGCGUAGGCGGCCCGGCAAGUUGGGUGUGAAAUCCCUCGGCUCAACCGAGGAAUUGCGCCCAAAACUGCCGGACUUGAGGGAGGCAGAGGUGAGUGGAACUAUGGGUGGAGCGGUGAAAUGCGUUGAUAUCCGUAGGAACACCGGUGGCGAAAGCGGCUCACUGGGUCUCUUCUGACGCUGAGGCACGAAAGCUAGGGGAGCGAACGGGAUUAGAUACCCCGGGUAGUCCUAGCUGUAAACGAUGAGCACUAGAUCGUAGAGAUCUCCAUGUCUUUACGGUCGAACUGAAAAGGUUAAGUGCUCCGCCUGGGGAGUAUGGCCGCAAGGCUG
This 372-nucleotide ribosomal RNA is filed under the name uncultured organism. RNAcentral describes it as "partial 16S ribosomal RNA". It matches the Rfam family "Bacterial small subunit ribosomal RNA", at positions 527 to 896 of the family's 1533-position model. The record is from RNAcentral.